This 493-nucleotide ribosomal RNA is filed under the name uncultured bacterium. RNAcentral's name for it is "partial 16S ribosomal RNA". It matches the Rfam family "Bacterial small subunit ribosomal RNA", at positions 28 to 507 of the family's 1533-position model. The record is from RNAcentral.
GACGAACGCUGGCGGCGCGCUUAACACAUGCAAGUCGAACGGAAAGGCCUGCUUUCCCUUGUGGAUUGCGGGUACUCGAGUGGCGAACGGGUGAGUAACACGUGAGUGAUCUGCCCCCAACUUGGGUAUAAGCCUGGGAAACUGGGUCUAAUUCCCGAUAGGACUGCAGGGUGGUGCCUGUGGUGGAAAACGAUUUUCUAGUGGUUGGGGAUGAGCUCGCGGCCUAUCAGCUUGUUGGUGGGGUAAUGGCCUACCAAGGCGGCGACGGGUAGCCGGCCUGGGGGGGUGGACGGCAAAUUGGGGCUGGGAUACCGGCCAGGAUUCUACGGGGGGCAGCAGUGGGGAAUAAUGGACAAUGGGCGGAAGCCUGAUGGAGGGACGCCGCGGGGGGGAUGACGGCCUUCGGGUUGUAAACUCCUUUCGACCGCGAGGAAGCCACCUGGUUGGAAGGGUGGUGACGGUAGUGGUAGAAGAAGCACCGGCUAACUACGUG